AUGCACACCUCUGAUUCCCCGCCGGCUACACCGGCCAGCCAUCCUGUUCAACUGUUGGGAUCUCCUUCACAAGUCCACCGUCUCGUUUCUGACCACCGCCCUGAAGUCCAGAUCCGCCGCCACAGAAAUUUAGAUCUCACGGUGAAGACAAAUGAAAAAGAUGACAAAAUGGAGGAUGAGAAUCAAAGGAACAUGAGAGUGGCUUUUUGGGUUUUACCAUAUGUCAUGAUAAGGAUUGUGCUAUUUGCUUUUGUGAUGUAUUAA
This is a non-coding RNA of Vicia faba (fava bean), 264 nucleotides long. The record is from the annotation of a GenBank genome assembly. Lineage: Eukaryota; Viridiplantae; Streptophyta; Magnoliopsida; Fabales; Fabaceae.